UUAACAGAAGUAAAUGUAAGACAAUAUGGAUUGGUGGUGGCCAGACAAAGAAAUUGAUGCUCUUGUUUAUCCUCAAGGAAGACGGCCAAAGAAGGUGAUGGAUCCACAACACUUUCAAUGAGUGGAAGAUGAUUUGGUUAAAUGGGA
This is a long non-coding RNA of Papaver somniferum (opium poppy), 147 nucleotides long. RefSeq lists it as uncharacterized. The transcript has 3 exons. The record is from RefSeq and is a predicted model, not a curated record. Lineage: Eukaryota; Viridiplantae; Streptophyta; Magnoliopsida; Ranunculales; Papaveraceae.